AAUGUACUCCCUCCGUUCCAAAAUAGAUGACCCAACUUUGUACUAAAGUUAGUACAAAGUUGGUACAAAGUUGGGUCAUCUAUUUUGGAACGGAGGGAGUACUUG
This is a non-coding RNA of Triticum aestivum (bread wheat), 105 nucleotides long. The record is from Rfam. Lineage: Eukaryota; Viridiplantae; Streptophyta; Magnoliopsida; Poales; Poaceae.